GGGGCUGAUCGGUUUCGACGGUGACCUGUUCGUCGCAGGGAAGCGUGCCGAGAACGCGGGGGUCCACUCGUUAAUGCCCUCCCGCAACAAUCAAGUGCUAAAUCUAACCGCACUGAGUUCGCUCUCGCUGCCUGAGUUUUAAACCAGGAUUAACCAGCGAGCUACGGCUCCGUUCACUCUCUUUCGUUUCCGGGGAGAUGCUGAGCGUCAUUUAGGAGACUUGCUUGAGCUGCCGCGUCACAGGACGGCUCAGGGACUUUUACUGUGACUAUGCCCGCCAUCCGCCGUCUGCGGUAUGGGUGGGGGCAGAAAAACAGCCAUACGGCCAGCAGACUACGCACGUAGAAGACUGAGGGUACGGUCACCGGACCGGGGUUCAAUUCCCCGCAGCUCCACCA
This is a non-coding RNA of Bifidobacterium actinocoloniiforme DSM 22766, 398 nucleotides long. It matches the Rfam family "transfer-messenger RNA". From Rfam's summary of the family: Bacterial tmRNA, also known as 10Sa RNA or SsrA, is named for its dual tRNA and mRNA-like properties. Its role is to liberate the mRNA from a stalled ribosome. To accomplish this part of the tmRNA is used as a reading frame that ends in a translation stop signal. The record is from Rfam. NCBI's taxonomy places the organism in Bacteria, Bacillati, Actinomycetota, Actinomycetes, Bifidobacteriales, Bifidobacteriaceae.